GAAGGCAUCAGGGCCUCCACCGCGCCCAUCCCUACUCGAGUCCAGCGAUGGAGGGCAUCUGGUGGCGACCACAGCAGCCUCCUCGCCGCCCGUCGCUUGAUCUGCUCGUUCGGGCUCGUGGUGCUCACGGGGCAGACGGCGGCGGCCUCAACAGCGACCAUGGAGGAGGGGUGCCACGCGGGGUGACCGAGCAGCUGUCGUUGGUGGCGGCCUCCUCCCUCGUCCCCUCCACCCUGCAGGUCUCUCGUCAAACUCGCCGUCCCCGACCACGACCAUGGCAGGGAAGCUUCCUCUGAUCCCGAGCACCGCGUGCUAGAUCCUCCCCGACCAUGAGCGCGGGAACCAGGUGAGCAUCCUCGUCUCCUCCAUCUGCUCGUGAGGCCAUGGACCAAUAAGCUGCGCAGAGACAACUUUCAUGGAUAAAUAAGGACGGGAGUCAGAGGCUGGCAGGAAAGAAACAAUUCAAACAACUUGUAUUUCAUCGGAACGGCAGAUCGCAGCGAGUUUAUGCUUCCUUGCCUCAAUGCCAUGCUCUGCUUUAGGCUCAAACAGUUUUCGGAUCACUUCAUGCCUUACAGGCUUAUUGAACUCAACUUGGCCCAUGGAUGGUUACUGAUGCACCCGGAUUUCCUUGACGGGGUCUUCUUAUAGAUUGCGGAGCUCAACACAUUACAGCGGAACUGGGAAGACGACGAGGGCGGCAGAUGGCUUCGGCGGGGGAGGCGACAACUGAUUGAAAAUGGACUAUCGUUAUGCUUCACUGUUAGUAAUAUUUUCUUCUCCAUUUUGAGCUGUAGUAAUUCAUAGGUCUGCUUUUUCUGGUAGAGAAUCAAGCUAGAAUUUGUUCUCAGAUUUACAAUCAAAGAUUGGUGAGUGUUUCCCUAUUGUAGUCUAGAGUAGGUGAUGGUUCAUGCGGUUUCGCUUGGAUGCAACUCAUAUCAUGUGCCCGUCAUCAGAUAGGAAUUGAUCGAUUGACCAACCUGAAAGUGUGAUGCUUCUUUGACUUUUUAUUAUGGUGUAUGUGAGUGACAUCAUCUCUGUUACUA
RNA transcript from Lolium rigidum, 1046 nucleotides. RefSeq lists it as uncharacterized. NCBI's taxonomy places the organism in Eukaryota, Viridiplantae, Streptophyta, Magnoliopsida, Poales, Poaceae. The transcript is spliced from 7 exons. The record is from RefSeq and is a predicted model, not a curated record.